Molecule: RNA transcript, 6752 nt
Organism: Hippocampus comes (tiger tail seahorse)
Lineage: Eukaryota; Metazoa; Chordata; Actinopteri; Syngnathiformes; Syngnathidae
Gene: dot1l
Gene name: DOT1-like histone H3K79 methyltransferase
Exons: 29
Source: RefSeq, a predicted model, not a curated record
GCCUCCUGCCAUAGUUUUUCAAUGCCGGGCAAGAUGGCGGCCACACAGACGAGGUGUUAUUGCCAGUGGUCAUAAAGGGGGCAUUUUUAUUCAACAAUUCGGAACUGAGUCAGACGUCACUGUAUGCUAAUUCCCCGCCGCGACGCCUAUUUUGGGGGCUCAUUUUUGCCGUUGUUUUUUUUUUUCCUUUGAAAAACAUUUUGAUCCACCGCAACAUGUUCACGUUGUAGCUCGCGGAGAGCAAGUCUACCAGCUAGUCUCGCUCGCUAGCCGCAACCCCAAGCCGCCGUCAAGUGGAGAAUGGGCGAAAAGCUGGAGCUGAGGCUCAAAUCGCCGGUUGGAGCAGAAGCCGCUGGCUACCCGUGGCCCUUACCGGUUUACGAUAAACACCACGAUGCUGCCCACGAAAUCAUCGAGACCAUUCGGUGGGUGUGCGAGGAGAUUCCAGACCUCAAGCUGGCAAUGGAGAACUAUGUGCUCAUCGACUACGACACCAAGAGUUAUGAGAGUAUGCAGAGACUGUGCGACAAAUACAACAGGGCCAUUGACAGCAUUCACCAGCUGUGGAAAGGGACGACUCAGCCCAUGAAGUUGAACAAGCGCCCGUCCAACGGGCUGCUGCGACACAUCCUCCAACAGGUGUACAACCACUCUGUGACCGACCCGGAGAAGCUGAACAACUACGAGCCCUUCUCGCCCGAGGUUUACGGCGAGACUUCCUUCGACCUGGUGGCGCAGAUCAUCGACGAAAUGGAAAUGAUGGAAGACGACACCUUCGUAGACCUCGGCAGCGGUGUGGGGCAGGUGGUGCUGCAGGUUGCGGCAGCGACCAACUGUAAACACUACUAUGGCGUUGAGAAAGCAGACAUUCCAGCAACCUAUGCAGAGAGCAUGGACAAAGAGUUUAAAAAGUGGAUGAAAUGGUAUGGCAAGAAACACGGGGAGUACACUCUGGAGAGAGGAGAUUUUCUGUCUGAAGAAUGGAAAGAAAGGAUCGCCACCACAAGUAUUAUUUUUGUGAAUAAUUUUGCCUUUGGUCCAGAGGUAGAUCACCAGCUGAAGGAACGUUUUGCGAACAUGAAGGAAGGUGGAAAGAUUGUAUCUUCCAAACCAUUUGCACCUUUGAACUUUCGAAUUAACAGCCGAAACUUGAGUGAUAUAGGCACAAUAAUGCGUGUGGUAGAGCUCUCACCACUGAGGGGUUCCGUGUCCUGGACUGGAAAGCCAGUCUCCUACUAUCUGCACACCAUAGACCGCACCAUACUUGAAAACUACUUUGCUAGUCUCAUCAAUCCUAAACUCAGGGAAGAGCAAGAGGCAGCUCGACGACGUCAGCAGAAAGAUAUUAAGGACAGCAAAAGCAAUAGCACCACACCCACCAAAACCAAGGAGCAAAACAAGUACCUGUAUUCGGUACUCCAGCAGGACUCCUGUGGGGAGGAGGAGCAGCGCCUCCCAUUGGUGUCUGUGGUCAAGCCCGCCGCCAAGCCCCGCCAAACAAAACUCUUGGCCAAGGGUCGCAAGCUGAACAACAAGAAGAGGGGUCGACCCAAGAAGGCGGCGCCGGCUAUCGACAAGAAGAAGAACCAGAGCGCGUUGGAUUUGCUGCAUGCCAAGACCCUUUCUGCAGCGCCCCCUCAGGAUGCAUACCUGCAACCGCGGAGUCCCUUUUACCAACUACCUCCUAAGGUCCAGCACUACCCAGCCAAUCAACUGCUGCUGAGCCCAACCCCUCCCGGUCUGCAACAACUGCUAGACAACAUCAAAGUUCAAUACCUCCAGUUUAUGGCCUACAUGAAGACUCCUCAGUACCAAUCCAAUCUGCAGCAGCUUUUAGAGCAGGAGAAGCAAAAACACAGGGAUUUGUCCAUGCAGGCAGAGCAGCUCCAUUCCAUCUGUCAGUCUCAUAAGGACAAGAUCAAAGGUCUCUUUCAGACCAAACUGGAUGAGCUGGGAGUGAAAGCUCUCACUGUGGAGGACCUGCUGCAGGCCCAGAAGGAGAUAUCGUCCCACAACCAUCAGUUGAAAGAGCAGACCAAACAGCUUGAGAGAGACAUGGCUUUACUUCGAGAUCACAGCGUGCUGCUGCUAAAGUCUCGAUGUGAGGAGCUGAAGUUGGAUUGGGGCUCUUUGUGUCUGGAGAGUCUGCUGAAAGAGAAGCUGGCCCUGCGGAGACAAAUCUCUGAGAAGCAGAGACACUGCUUAGAGCUGCAGAUUAGCAUUGUGGAGCUGGAAAAAAGUCAGAGGCAACAGGAGCUGCUUCAACUCAAAUCAUACAGCCCUCACGAGGGCUCCCCUUUCCGCAAGAACCCGGAAUCCCGUUCGUCCGCCGACGUGGACGCCCCCAAGUUCGGCCUGCCCUCAGUCCCAACUCUCAACGGCAUAAGCCCAGACCGCUCUAUCAACGGUACCGGCUCGCCCUCUUUGGAGCGCGGGAACACCAAGACGGAGGUUCUUUCACGCUAUCUGCCAAUCUCUCCCGACCACGAAGCUGCUGCAGCCAUGCCCGAGGCUCGACAGAGGCAGCACGUCUCCCACGCUCUUCCCGACUACACGCGCUUCUCCCCCGCUAAAAUUGCCUUGCGCAGGCACCUCAACCAGGAACCCACAACCGCGGGCCACUUGAGAGGCCCCGGGCCUCCCACACACAGAGGGGAAAUGGGCGGCGUUAACUCUCCUCUCGGAGCCAAGCAGGGCAGCCCAUCUCCUCAUGCGUUGGAUGCUCAGAAUACACCGAAAAGCACUGAGAGGGGUGGAAAGGAGAAGAGUCCAUCUGUUCAGGCAGACAACAGUAUCACAAGCCUUCCAAUAAGUAUUCCGCUGAGCACUGUUCACCCAAGCAAACUUCCAGUCAGCAUUCCACUCGCCAGUGUGGUGCUACCCAGUCGGGCUGAGAGACUGAGAAGUACUCCUAGUCCUGUCUCUCAGGCCUGUCAAACCAAUGGAUAUUCAUCUAGCUCAGGGCUCAUGAAUGGAGGUCCCCACUCAGAGGAACAAAAUGGUGCUUCUUCAUCGCCUCCACACGCAAACACACCCUUGGCGGGACCCAUGAGCAGAGGAGGUCCAAUCCAGAGCCCCCCACUCAGCACCGGAGGGGUUCUUCAUUAUGCAGACGGACCCCCAAGGAUUCUUUCCGAAGAUGGCCAGGAACGCCAACAGACCGAGUCCGACACUGAGCCCCAGGACAAUGAACUGCGGAGGAGAAUUUUUUUCUCCUCCUCUUCCUCCUCCUCGUCUUCGUCAUCGGGCAGUGGCGGAUUGCGCCUCCACCACCACACCGGCAGCUCGACCAAGCAGGGAUACCACAGUAACCACGGAAACCACAACCACCAGUCGCCCGGCACGCAGCGCGCGCACACGCCCCCCACGCACGGCCUCGCUCCUCAAGAAGGACGCAAACGGGGGCGGCGGAAGCGCGUCUCUACAGGGACUAUCGCAACCGGCGGCUCACCAAAGAGGAGGACCUUUCCCGGCGUCAGUGCGAACAACCACUCCUCCGGGUCCCCGCUCAACAUCAAUUCCAUGGUGAACAACAUUAACCAGCCCCUGGAAAUCGCCGCCAUCUCUUCACCGGAGCAAUCAAGCCGCAGCCCCGGUGCAUCAACCCUGGACCAGCCUCCUGUUCUGAAGAGGGAGCGCCCCCUGGAGGUCAACGGCACCGGUCGUUACUCCUCCGCGCCCAGCACUGAUGACGAGGACUCGGGAUACCCGGCUGAAAGCACCAGUUUACGGAUUGAAAGGAAAAUUGCUACGAUAUCCUUGGAGAGCAGAGACGGACCCGGUAGACUCGGUGAAAGUGAAAGAGGCAGGAAGUCAGGCUGCAGCAGCGGUCACAGCACAGGCAGCGAGGCCUCCUCCUCCUCUUCCUCAUCCUUGUCCUCUACAAGCAAAUGGAAGUCAACCUUUUCACCCAUUUCUGACCCCAAGCAACCCAACUCUGACCUCAGACAAGGGGGCUCUCCGUUUGGUAUGGGAGCGUCAAACUCGGACGCCGAUUACAAACAACACCAUCAACAGCCCAGGAAGGGAAACGAUGGCGAGCUAUCCAGCUACACGAAUCCCAACCCUUUCCUGAGCCAAGAGGCUGCCAACCGAAGCACUGGUAGCGGAGGAGGUCAGGCUGGCAGCGGUUCUGACCCCCGCCAGAUUGUACAGAAGCAGAAGGCCCCUCGGGAUUGGGAGCUAAAGACAAGUAGCGGCCAUUCCAGUCAGAACAUCUUCAUAGCCGCUGCCGCCGCCAGUAGCGGCGCAGGCAUUCUGAGCGGCAAAGUCGGUGGAAGCCCUGUCACUGUUUCGACAGGAUCCUCAGUGGGUCAGUACCUGGGCUCUCAGUUCCCACUUGGAGGGACCUCGGUCUUACAGUCGUUGUUCGGGGCCCAGACAGGAAGCUCCGGCGCCAGCGCCAACACACGACUGGUCAAUGGACACUCUGGCCUGGGCAGCUUCUCUAGCGCCGGGCUUGCAGGUGGAGCAGCAGGAGGUUCCUUUCACCACGCGGUUCCCUCAGUGUCCUCCCAUCAGUUUGGGGUGUCGCUGCCCACCUCCGGAGGCCUCGGCUCUCUGCUCAGUCUCUCCUCCCCCCAAACCGCUUCCGCGCCCUCGCCUCUCCCUCCCACCCCGUCGCAGGUCCAGCAUAGUCGCACCCAGUCGGUGCUGCACAGCCCCUCCGCCCCCACGCACUCUCUGCCCCCUCCGCCGCCCCUGCACAGCGCCCCCUCCUCCUCCUCCACGUCGGCGCCCACGCCCGCCAACACCCCCCCGCCGCCCCACGCGUCCCGUCUCCCGCACGCCUCGCUUCAUCACCCGAGGGUCCACACCCUCACUGUCUCCUCUUCCUCCUGUGUCGUUCUCUCCGCCCCCCCUUCUUCCUCUUUGUCGUCCUCCACGUCUCGUCCAUACGCAGUGCACUACUCGCCCCGCUUGCCGCCGCCGCCUCCCGCCAGCAGCUCAGGUGGUGGCGGGAGCAUGCGGAGGACUCAGGGCACACAUGGCACCUUCACCACCACCACCCCGCUCCCUGGCUCCCGACCGAGAUAGGUUUUGGGGUUGAGGGGCUGGGGGAGGUUGUGUUGCGGGCAGAUAGAGAGAGAGAGCGGGACUUAUAGGGAGUUCAUUGUUCUAAAUGAACAAGGUAAUUGCUGAAAACUACCUCAUCGUUUAAAAAAAAAAAAAAAACAACAAAACUAUGCAAAUAUCCAGGUGUGGACCCAAGGCACUCUGCUCCUCGCUCACUGGUGCUUUAAUAAGUCGAGACUACCGGAUCGCCUCCAAGACUGGCUUCUGUAUAGGGACACACACAGGCACACACACAUGUACAAACACAAACGCUGCAGCAAUCAUGAGCAGAAUUCAAAGGAACCGGUCUUGUUUCGAUCUCAAAUCUUUUUUAGAAAGCAGAAAGAAAUGAAUUAAUGCAACAAGCACACGAUUUCCUCUUUUGGAGGAGCCACUUCCUGUUUGACCUGUUCAUUGGUAUCUGCUCAGAUGUCACAAGCGUGUCUUUUUGUUUUAGUUUUUUUGUUUUUUUCUGACGUCUGAACUAUGUAACAAGAUGAGGAAAGUCAUGUUUUGAUGACGUUCACACUGGAUAACAACAUACAGUUGCAUUUGUAGCAUUAUGGUUUGUAUCAUUAGGAUCCAUCCAUCCUUUCAUUCAAAAGUUAACGGUGAAAAAGCGCUUGAAUGGAACUAAUCCGGCUGCUUUCAGUUCACCGAGCUCAGAUUUUCUAACUGGAUCAAAGCAAUUCCGUUUUUCUUUUUCUCCUCAGUAACAUCAGACUUUUGAUAUACAUAAUCAGUAGAGGUUCCGGACUUGUCGGCGGACAUAAAAAAAAAAAAAAAGCAUUGACUCCAAAAUCUGUUCAUUUCUGCCUAGCAACAGUCAAGGCGUGAACACAAAUCAAUAUUCUGCUACGAAAUGGUGCUCUGUGUUCGUUCUCUCUGGCACUGCUGUCGAGUUAAGUGAAGCUAAAUCCAGGUAGAUAAUAUCAAUAAUAAUAAUGACAGGAAGAGAAAAAAAACAGAAGCGCUGCAUGUUUUUCUGUAUUUAUUAUUAUUAUUAUUAUUAUUAUUCAUGUUUUUCCAAGUGUGGCACUACUUUGAGACCUUCUCAAAGCAGGAAUUUUUUUUUUUUAACCUUCUUAAGCUGAAAUUUGUAUAUUUAUUUGAGCUGCUGGGUGCCGCGGAUGGACACCGAGGUUUUACGACAGGAAAAUGCGCUAAACACACACACACACACACACACACACAUCCUCACACACUGGGAAAAUCUUUUUACCAUUUGCCACAACAAACUACUGGACUACUUCACACUUUUUUUUUUUUUUUGUGUGUUGUCGUUUUUUAUGUUUGUACUGUGAAUAUGAUUAAUUCUCUUGACUGUACAGUUGUUAGACUUAUAUAUUUAUGUCCCCCUAUUUCCCUUUUUUUUUUCUUUAAAAAAAAAACAAAAAUCCUGAAAUAUGUUGUACAAUGCAAUAUAGUAUGUGAGUCGCUGUCAGAAAACAAUGGUGCUAAAUUUGGACCGUGCCUGAUUUUAUUUAUUCUUCCAGUGGAAAAAUAUCCCAAAAAAAAAAUCAAAGGCGACACAUUGUGCUAUACACAGGGAUUUCUUUUUUAUUUUAUUUUUUAUUUUUUGUAAACUCCCCCUUUUUGGCCUUUAAAUUUCUUCUAUUUAAUAUUGUAUUGGGGUGUCCAACACUUUUGGAUAAACAUUCAGUGGACAAAAAAAAAAAAAAAAACACCACUGUUUU